AUGUUACAGCCCAUAACAGCUGCAGCCUUGACUAUUAAAUCUCAAAGGGAAUAAAAAAGUCGCCUGACAGUUAAAGCAGAGGACUACACUUGGGGCCAAGAAUAUGGGCUACUUCAUAUGGAAGAACUCCAGCAACCGGGAGGUAGCUCAUCAGAACGUUAGGCAUUUCUGCUACCAGGAGACACCUGGACCCUGUAAGGCUGUGAGCUGAUUCUGGGAACUUUGCCAUCAGUGGCUGAGGCCAGAGACCCACACCAAAGAACAGAUCCUGGAAUUGCUGGUGCUGGAGCAGUUCUUGACUAUCCUGCCAGAGGAGCUCCAAGCCCGGAUGUUAGAGCAUCAGCCGGAGAACAGAGAGGAAAUGGUGAUCAUAUCGGAGGAUUUGGAAAGAGAGCUUGAUGAAACAGAAUAUCGGGUGU
This 419-nucleotide long non-coding RNA is filed under the name Homo sapiens (human). RNAcentral's name for it is "non-protein coding lnc-ZNF165-1:2". The record is from RNAcentral. Lineage: Eukaryota; Metazoa; Chordata; Mammalia; Primates; Hominidae.